GUCUUUAUAAGGAUUAAGGGGAAUUGGGGGUGGUUUUUUUUUCGUAUUUUGUAAGAAAUAUUUAUUCUGUAAAAUUCUUCUGUUCUGAUCGUGCAUAUGGGAAUUUCCUUCUAUAUCAUGAUUUUCACAUGAUAGAUUUUUCGUCUGUAUCUCCCCUGAAUCUGUUAAAGUACUGCACAAAUUAGACAUUUAUCAAUUUCAUUCCUGUUGAAAACC
Molecule: long non-coding RNA, 216 nt
Filed under: Mytilus galloprovincialis (Mediterranean mussel)
Lineage: Eukaryota; Metazoa; Mollusca; Bivalvia; Mytilida; Mytilidae
Source: RNAcentral